GAAGAAGGUACAUGGGUACAAGAAAACCGUUUAGCAAUAACGAAUCCACUCGAAAGGAAAGUUUCCACGAGAUUCCCUUUUAUCGUCUACUAAAACAAGAAAAUUCAAAAAAAGAGGUCAGUUAGUAUCCUCGAACUUCGUCCCCAGCCAGUCAGCAUUAGGGUUUUAAACACUAAACUGAUUUUUUCCUUCAGUCAGCAUUAGGGUUUUAAAACCCUAAACUGAACUCUUUUCCAUUCAGUCAGCAUUAGGUUUUUAAACUCAAAACUGAACUUUUUCCUUUAGUCAGCAUUAGGGUUUUAAACCCUAAACUGAAUUUUCCCAUUCAGUAAGUAUUAGGGUUUUAAACCCUAAACUGAACUUUUUCCAUUCAGUCAGCAUUAGGGUUUUAAACCCUAAACUGAACUUUUCCCAUUAAUCAGGAUUAGGGUUUUAAACCCUAAACUGAA
Molecule: long non-coding RNA, 449 nt
Filed under: Nicotiana tabacum (common tobacco)
Lineage: Eukaryota; Viridiplantae; Streptophyta; Magnoliopsida; Solanales; Solanaceae
Description: long non-coding RNA (NTAB_LNC005992)
Source: RNAcentral